UACGGGGGGGGCAAGCGGUUGUUCGGAAUUACUGGGCGUAAAGGGCGCGUAGGCGGUUCGCUAAGUUGAAUGUGAAAACUCUGGGCUUAACCCAGAGCCUGCAUCCAAAACUGGCGAACUGGAGUACUGGAGGGGAAAGCGGAAUUCCUGGUGUAGCGGUGAAAUGCGUAGAUAUCAGGAGGAACACCGGUGGCGAAGGCGGCUUUCUGGACAGUAACUGACGCUGAGACGCGAAAGCGUGGGGAGCAAACAGG
Molecule: ribosomal RNA, 254 nt
Filed under: uncultured bacterium
Lineage: Bacteria
Description: partial 16S ribosomal RNA
Rfam family: Bacterial small subunit ribosomal RNA
Source: RNAcentral